UACAGAGGGUGCAAGCGUUAAUCGGAAUGACUGGGCGUAAAGGGCGUGUAGGUGGUUAUGUAAGUUGGUUGUGAAAUCCCCGGGCUUAACCUGGGAAUGGCAAACGAGACUGCAUAGCUAGAGUACAGUAGAGGGUAGUGGAAUUUCCGGUGUAGCGGUGAAAUGCGUAGAGAUCGGAAGGAACACCAGUGGCGAAGGCGGCUACCUGGACUGAUACUGACACUGAGGCGCGAGAGCGUGGGUAGCAAACAGG
This 253-nucleotide ribosomal RNA is filed under the name uncultured bacterium. RNAcentral's name for it is "partial 16S ribosomal RNA". It matches the Rfam family "Bacterial small subunit ribosomal RNA", at positions 524 to 776 of the family's 1533-position model. The record is from RNAcentral.